This 505-nucleotide ribosomal RNA is filed under the name uncultured bacterium. Its description in RNAcentral is "partial 16S ribosomal RNA". It matches the Rfam family "Bacterial small subunit ribosomal RNA", at positions 28 to 507 of the family's 1533-position model. The record is from RNAcentral.
GACGAACGCUGGCGGCGUGCCUAAUACAUGCAAGUAGAACGCACAGUUUAUACCGUAGCUUGCUACACCAUAGACUGUGAGUUGCGAACGGGUGAGUAACGCGUAGGUAACCUGCCUGGUAGCGGGGGAUAACUAUUGGAAACGAUAGCUAAUACCGCAUAAUAUUGAUUAUUGCAUGAUAAUUGAUUGAAAGAUGCUAUUGCAUCACUACCAGAUGGACCUGCGUUGUAUUAGCUAGUAGGUGAGGUAACGGCUCACCUAGGCGACGAUACAUAGCCGACCUGAGAGGGUGGUCGGCCACACUGGGACUGGGACACGGCCCAGACUCCUACGGGAGGCAGCAGUAGGGAAUCUUCGGCAAUGGACGAAAGUCUGACCGAGCAACGCCGCGUGAGUGAAGAAGGUUUUCGGAUCGUAAAGCUCUGUUGUAAGAGAAGAACGGGUGUGAGAGUGGAAAGUUCACACUGUGACGGUAUCUUACCAGAAAGGGACGGCUAACUACGUG